CGUAUAUUAUUAUAUGUAUAUAUAUAAAUAAAAUUCUUAGUUGGGGCAACUAAAAAAUAUAUUAAACUUUUUUUUUUAAAAAAAUGACCCAUUAUUAAUGAUAAUAUGAAAAAAAUACUCUAGGGAUAACAGCGUAAUAAUUUUUGAUAGAUCUUAUAGACAAAAUAGUUUGCGACCUCGAUGUUGGAUUAGGAUACUUUUUUAAUGAAGAUGUUAAAAAAAGAAGUUUGUUCAACUUUUAAAUUCCUACUUGAUCGA
RNAcentral lists this ribosomal RNA (258 nucleotides) under Dermacentor silvarum. Its description in RNAcentral is "partial large subunit ribosomal RNA". The stretch from base 125 to 258 matches the Rfam family "Bacterial large subunit ribosomal RNA", at positions 2473 to 2608 of the family's 2925-position model. Lineage: Eukaryota; Metazoa; Arthropoda; Arachnida; Ixodida; Ixodidae. The record is from RNAcentral.